GUGCUCGCUAUGGUAGCAUAUAUACUAAAAUUGGAACGAUACAGAGAAGAUUAGCAUGACACGCAAAUCCGUGAAACGUCCCAUUUUAAA
RNAcentral lists this small nuclear RNA (90 nucleotides) under Ochotona princeps (American pika). Lineage: Eukaryota; Metazoa; Chordata; Mammalia; Lagomorpha; Ochotonidae. The record is from RNAcentral.